UCCCCGAUAGCUCAGUUGGUAGAGCGCGCGGCUGUUAACCGCUAGGUCGUAGGUUCGAGCCCUACUCGGGGAG
This 73-nucleotide transfer RNA is filed under the name Betaproteobacteria bacterium. RNAcentral describes it as "tRNA-Asn". It matches the Rfam family "tRNA". From Rfam's summary of the family: Transfer RNA (tRNA) molecules are approximately 80 nucleotides in length. The record is from RNAcentral. Lineage: Bacteria; Pseudomonadati; Pseudomonadota; Betaproteobacteria.